Molecule: non-coding RNA, 249 nt
Organism: Vicia faba (fava bean)
Lineage: Eukaryota; Viridiplantae; Streptophyta; Magnoliopsida; Fabales; Fabaceae
Source: the annotation of a GenBank genome assembly
AUGGGCUUAUCGAAGUCUCUAGGGCAAAGGCCCAGAACGAAGCUCAGAUGGGGGAAAACUCAGCUCACUCAUGGAUUUCUCUCGAUCUCUCUUACUCACACUGCCUUCCGGCGCGGCCGCCGAGAAUCGCCUCUGGCGGCGCUCAGUCAUGAACAUCUAAAACGAAGCCAUCAUUGUGACCUUCUUAUCAUCCUCAAUUCAUUUCCAAACCUCAUUUCCUCUGAAACCUCCCUAAAGCCUCUCAGUUAA